ACAAACUCGGUUCAAAAAAACCACAAAAUCUGAAUUGACAACAAAGAAUAUUUAAAACUUCCCAAUCUGAAACCUCUGUAAAACAGAGUAACCCAUGAUAACCUACAAUUCCUUAUUCUAAUAUUCAUCCAUGAAACCAUAACUCCAACACUACAGACCCAAUAUGAGUGUGCAGAUUUAAUCAUGUAUGUAUUACUUCUUAGAAAUACGUAAGGGGAAAAAUUAAUUUUGCCGAGAGUAUUCAGUUUGAACUCAGGAAUAGAGCAUAAAAACCAAAAAUAAAA
Molecule: long non-coding RNA, 284 nt
Filed under: Panax ginseng (ginseng)
Lineage: Eukaryota; Viridiplantae; Streptophyta; Magnoliopsida; Apiales; Araliaceae
Description: long non-coding RNA (PGIN_LNC014823)
Source: RNAcentral